AGUGAACGCUGGCGGUAGGCCUAACACAUGCAAGUCGAACGGCAGCACACUAAGAGCUUGCUCUUACGGGUGGCGAGUGGCGGACGGGUGAGGAAUACAUCGGAAUCUACUUUUUCGUGGGGGAUAACGUAGGGAAACUUACGCUAAUACCGCAUACGACCCACGGGUGAAAGAAGGGGAUCUUCGGACCUUGCGCGAUUGAAUGAGCCGAUGUCGGAUUAGCUAGUUGGCGGGGUAAAGGCCCACCAAGGCGACGAUCCGCAGCUGGUCUGAGAGGAUGAUCGGCCACACUGGAACUGAGACGCGGUCCAGACUCCUGAGGGAGGGAGCAGUGGGGAAUAUUGGACAGUGGGCGAAAGCCUGGUCCAGCCAUACCGCGUAUGUGAAGAAGGCCUUCGGGUUGUAAAGCCCUUUUGUUGGGGAAGAAAAGCAGCAGGUUAAUACCACGCUGUUCUGACGGUACCCAAAGAAUAAGCACCGGCUAACUUCGUG
RNAcentral lists this ribosomal RNA (492 nucleotides) under uncultured bacterium. RNAcentral's name for it is "partial 16S ribosomal RNA". It matches the Rfam family "Bacterial small subunit ribosomal RNA", at positions 29 to 507 of the family's 1533-position model. The record is from RNAcentral.